Cavia porcellus (domestic guinea pig) is the source of this 1314-nucleotide long non-coding RNA. RefSeq lists it as uncharacterized. The transcript is spliced from 2 exons. The record is from RefSeq and is a predicted model, not a curated record. Lineage: Eukaryota; Metazoa; Chordata; Mammalia; Rodentia; Caviidae.
CCUGAAGGGUAGUACAGAAGAAAGCUAGAGAAGCAGUGUCCAUAGCUCCCCACCUGUUCAACUUGGAAAAUGCAAUCAUCUGGGAAAAUUCUAAGCUACUCCUUAAGCAGAGCAUAGGAAAGCAGUUUAUUUAACCCCAAGCCUUACUUCACUGAACAAAAGGUAAGUCCCCCAGCCCAGAUGGUAUGCAUAAAUUCUUUGUCAGUGUACUCUCAGAGCAUCCAAAACAAAGUUUCCCAGCACAAGGGAUUAUACCGUUCAGACAGCUUUAUCUCACUAAAAAAAUUCCAACCUGCCUUCAGCCUUAAAACUCCUAAGAUGUAGCACUUAUAGAAGCCUGCUUCCCUAUUCUCUGAAUUUCCCCAAAUCCAGCAACUGCAGAAGGAGCCUGAGGCAGGAAACACAAAACAAGGCACAACAGGACACCAAACAUUUGGAGAAAGACCGCUGGCAGACCGCGGUGGCCAGCCAGGAGGAGGAAGUCCCAGGGAGCUGACACCAGCCCCAGGUCCUCUCGUCUGUGUCCCCCUCAGUGUGCCUGGGUCCUCUGUCCCUAGUGCAUUCUGUUGAUGACUCAAACUCUUUGGCAGACCAGACCUUCAUGGAUCAGACUAUUUUUGACUCAUCUGCAGGUUUAAAACACAGCUGAUAUGAGGAAGGAGGAAGGGAAAGGAUAGAUCAUGCUCUGGGAACUCAAGAGCAGGAGAAGAGUCUGGGUGAGUCCAAAAGGGUGACUCACUGCAGAAGGGCAAGUCUGGGGUGCAGGCUACAUGCUGGGCCUGUCUUGUGGCAGACACAGAGAGUGGUACACUGCCCUGUGGUACCCGGGUCAUUCCUUAGAAACAGUGACUCACAGUACCUCCCAGGUAGCCAGGUGAGCCUAGUAGUAAGGACUCUGAAUGGAGUCUGUCCUCACUCAGUGAAGUCUCAGGUCUGCUCUCCCCACUCACUCAGCAGGCUCAGGAAGUCUCCCAGAACGCCAGGGGUCUGGCCACUAAGCAAAGUACCCCUGUACUCGGAAGAGGUUUCUUCUCCCUGGUAACUCACAAAUUCCUUCCUGAUAGCUUGUGGAAUGCUUUGUUUUUAGGAAUCUGGAGAGGAAGCAGCCCUGACUUGGCCCUGACUCCAGGACAGUCUCUGAACAUCCCAGACGGAACACAUCCAGAAAGCUCUCAGCACCUUCUGUCACCUGCAGGAUAAGGGGAAAAGAAUUAAAACUGAAAAACAGGAAAAUUGACCCGAGCUUCACCCAGAGUAACUUCCUCUGAAAUUCAGCACGGCCCAGGCCAUUAAUAAACUGCAUGUCUAAACACA